UGGGGAAUUUUGGACAAUGGGGGCAACCCUGAUCCAGCAAUGCCGCGUGAGUGAAGAAGGCCUUCGGGUUGUAAAGCUCUUUUGUCAGGGAAGAAACGGUAGUAGCGAAUAACUAUUACUAAUGACGGUACCUGAAGAAUAAGCACCGGCUAACUACGUGCCAGCAGCCGCGGUAAUACGUAGGGUGCAAGCGUUAAUCGGAAUUACUGGGCGUAAAGCGUGCGCAGGCGGUUGUGUAAGUCAGAUGUGAAAUCCCCGGGCUCAACCUGGGAAUUGCAUUUGAGACUGCACGGCUAGAGUGUGUCAGAGGGGGGUAGAAUUCCACGUGUAGCAGUGAAAUGCGUAGAUAUGUGGAGGAAUACCGAUGGCGAAGGCAGCCCCCUGGGAUAACACUGACGCUCAUGCACGAAAGCGUGGGGAGCAAACAGGAUUAGAUACCCAACUAGUCCCUGAGCGGGCUGGCAAGGCGCAU
Molecule: ribosomal RNA, 472 nt
Filed under: uncultured bacterium
Lineage: Bacteria
Description: bacterial SSU rRNA
Rfam family: Bacterial small subunit ribosomal RNA
Source: RNAcentral